AGUAAAUAGAUACCCUGGUAGUCCACGCCGUAAACGAUGUCGACUUGGAGGUUGUGCCCUUGAGGCGUGGCUUCCGGAGCUAAACGCGUUAAGUCGACCGCCUGGGGAGUACGGCCGCAAGGUUAAAACUCAAAUGAAUUGACGGGGGCCCGCACAAGCGGUGGAGCAUGUGGUUUAAUUCGAUGCAACGCGAAGAACCUUACCUACUCUUGACAUCCAGAGAACUUAGCAGAGAUGCUUUGGUGCCUUCGGGAACUCUGAGACAGGUGCUGCAUGGCUGUCGUCAGCUCGUGUUGUGAAAUGUUGGGUUAAGUCCCGCAACGAGCGCAACCCUUAUCCUUUGUUGCCAGCGGUUAGGCCGGGAACUCAAAGGAGACUGCCAGGGAUAAACUGGAGGAAGGUGGGGAUGACGUCAAGUCAUCAUGGCCCUUACGAGUAGGGCUACACACGUGCUACAAUGGCGCAUACAAAGAGAAGCGACCUCGCGAGAGCAAGCGGACCUCAUAAAGUGCGUCGUAGUCCGG
This 524-nucleotide ribosomal RNA is filed under the name uncultured bacterium. RNAcentral's name for it is "bacterial SSU rRNA". It matches the Rfam family "Bacterial small subunit ribosomal RNA", at positions 774 to 1296 of the family's 1533-position model. The record is from RNAcentral.